This 412-nucleotide ribosomal RNA is filed under the name Wolbachia sp. Its description in RNAcentral is "bacterial SSU rRNA". It matches the Rfam family "Bacterial small subunit ribosomal RNA", at positions 1005 to 1415 of the family's 1533-position model. The record is from RNAcentral. Lineage: Bacteria; Pseudomonadati; Pseudomonadota; Alphaproteobacteria; Rickettsiales; Anaplasmataceae.
AGGGAUAGGGUCGGUUCGUCCGGGUUUCACACAGGUGUUGCAUGGCUGUCGUCAGCUCGUGUCGUGAGAUGUUGGGUUAAGUCCCGCAACGAGCGCAACCCUCAUCCUUAGUUACCAUCAGGUAAUGCUGGGGACUUUAAGGAAACUGCCAGUGAUAAACUGGAGGAAGGUGGGGAUGAUGUCAAGUCAUCAUGGCCCUUAUGGAGUGGGCUACACACGUGCUACAAUGGUGGCUACAAUGGGCUGCAAAGUCGCGAGGCUAAGCUAAUCCCUUAAAAGCCAUCUCAGUUCGGAUUGUACUCUGCAACUCGAGUGCAUGAAGUUGGAAUCGCUAGUAAUCGUGGAUCAGCACGCCACGGUGAAUACGUUCUCGGGUCUUGUACACACUGCCCGUCACGCCAUGGGAAUUGGU